Molecule: long non-coding RNA, 412 nt
Organism: Hevea brasiliensis (rubber tree)
Lineage: Eukaryota; Viridiplantae; Streptophyta; Magnoliopsida; Malpighiales; Euphorbiaceae
Exons: 2
Source: RefSeq, a predicted model, not a curated record
AUUUUCGGCACGAUUUAGGACGUAAUUGGUUUUUUUCUUUGUUUGUAUUGAGUCAGAUUGUAUUAAAUAAUUGUAAUAUAAUUGUCAGGUGAGCCGGGACAGCCUUCUUCCUCCGCCCAGCCGCCACAGUGAUUGUCGUCAAGUCUGCCACAGGAGGAUAUUUUGUUCUGGGUUAACCUGCUUUUCUACUUCGCAGGUUGUUUAUCAAUAUUUGUGUAAUUUUAUUUACUCCUAGAAUUUCCGCAUGUGUUAGCAGUAAUUAUUUGAAUUUGGUCUGUAAUAUUAUUAUCAUGUUGGACCUGUAAACUUAAUAUUUUAAGUCUGUUUUGAUGGAUUGGAUGAGGGAGCUGAGCUCCCAUUUAUUAUUAUGUUGAUGAGUAUGUGGAGGGUGAGCUGAGCUCCCCCAAUGGAU